This is a non-coding RNA of Cyanistes caeruleus (blue tit), 154 nucleotides long. The record is from RefSeq and is a predicted model, not a curated record. NCBI's taxonomy places the organism in Eukaryota, Metazoa, Chordata, Aves, Passeriformes, Paridae.
GGGAAGAAGAAGAUCUCGGUAAUCCCGGUGCUGGUGAGAGCGGACAAGCCAAGCCAGACGUCUGUGAGCUGUGGAACGGAUCACGGAUAGAGGAGCUGAGAGAAAGCUGACCCUCAGGUCAGUUAUUUUCCUGGAGAGAUGAAGAUGACUACAA